Molecule: ribosomal RNA, 198 nt
Filed under: uncultured bacterium
Lineage: Bacteria
Description: partial 16S ribosomal RNA
Rfam family: Bacterial small subunit ribosomal RNA
Source: RNAcentral
ACGCUCGACACCUACGGGGGGCAGCAGUGGGGAAUAUUGCACAAUGGAGGAAACUCUGAUGCAGCGAUGCCGCGUGAGGGAAGAAGGUUUUCGGAUUGUAAACCUCUGUCUUUGGGGACGAUAAUGACGGUACCCAAGGAGGAAGCUCCGGCUAACUACGUGCCGGCAGCCGCGGUAAUCUGAGCGGGCUGGCAAGGC